Molecule: long non-coding RNA, 214 nt
Filed under: Lathyrus oleraceus (garden pea)
Lineage: Eukaryota; Viridiplantae; Streptophyta; Magnoliopsida; Fabales; Fabaceae
Description: Pisum sativum (pea) long non-coding RNA (PSAT_LNC007909)
Source: RNAcentral
UUUCUCAGCCAACAGCUGAAUCUCCCUGUUCUGAGGUGGAGCAUUAUAAGGCACGAAAGGUUCAUUCUGCAUUGAGAAUUGAUCAGCCUCUCUAUCUUCCUCCUGGUCUUCAUCGAAUCCGUAGAACGGAGGCACAAAGUUAUCCUUCUGAUUCUGACCCGGUUGGCCACCAGCACCACCAAGACCACCAACAUUAUUCACGAGACCCACAAUU